AUUUCCUGUUUACAGUGACAGACUUCACAUCGUAGACAGCAGCAGCAGUAAAGAAGACAAUGCACGGAGGUUUUUACAUCGAUAUGUACGGCGUUUUGAUCACUGUUCUGUCGUCUAACAAACUGUUAAACUUAUCAAACGGAAGAUUACGGUGUCUUUCAGGAAGGCUCCAUCAGGUAAUAUACCUGACACCCAAUCCAUGUUAUCAUUACAGUAAUCUCGUGGCGAUGGAGGAGGACGAGGAGCUGGAGAGAGGGAUGCUGAAUCUCUCUCCAUCUAAAGUUGACACUGAACUAAGGCCAGCAGCAGCAGCAGUCUCCAGAGCCCCGGCUGUGUCUCCACCAACAGCACACAGGACGGAGCCAAC
This is a long non-coding RNA of Sander lucioperca (pikeperch), 367 nucleotides long. RefSeq lists it as uncharacterized. Lineage: Eukaryota; Metazoa; Chordata; Actinopteri; Perciformes; Percidae. The transcript is spliced from 4 exons. The record is from RefSeq and is a predicted model, not a curated record.